GAUGAAGAACGUAGCGAAAUGCGAUAAGUAGUGUGAAUUGCAGAAUUCAGUGAAUCAUCGAAUCUUUGAACGCACAUUGCGCCCCUUGGUAUCCCGAGGGGCAUGCCUGUUCGAGCGUCAUUUCACCACUCAAGCCUGGCUUGGUGUUGGGCGACGUCCCCUUUGGGGACGCGCCUUGAAACGCUCGGCGGCGUGGCACCGGCUUUAAGCGUAGCAGAAUCUUUCGCUUUGGAAGUCGGGGCCCCGUCUGCCGGAAGACCUACUCGCAAGGUUGACCUCGGAUCAGGUAGGGAUACCCGCUGAACUUAAGCAUAUCAAUAAGCGGAGGA
This 329-nucleotide unclassified non-coding RNA is filed under the name soil metagenome. Its description in RNAcentral is "partial contains 5.8S ribosomal RNA, internal transcribed spacer 2, and large subunit ribosomal RNA". The stretch from base 1 to 120 matches the Rfam family "5.8S ribosomal RNA", at positions 35 to 154 of the family's 154-position model. The record is from RNAcentral.